Non-coding RNA from Drosophila bipectinata, 294 nucleotides. The record is from RefSeq and is a predicted model, not a curated record. NCBI's taxonomy places the organism in Eukaryota, Metazoa, Arthropoda, Insecta, Diptera, Drosophilidae.
CUGUACGAGUUCAAGACAUGCAGAAAAUCGUGCAUUGCAGAUAGGCAACAGAUGAUCCUAUACAAACAGGUACCGCUGCGCAUUUACGACCUCACACCAUCUGUCAGCACGCAUGAUAAGGACCUGCAUGCGUCAUAAACCUAAGCGAUAAAGGAUAAUGUUAUCCUAUUUUACAACUGUCCAAACUAGUAAACUAUAAGCAGAUAAUAAUUUGACCUAAACAAACAUUAGUUCUUAAGAUCUUGUAUAUAAAAACCCUGCAUAUUCCACAAUAAAAUCAGUACUCAACGAAAA